This is a long non-coding RNA of Zalophus californianus (California sea lion), 456 nucleotides long. RefSeq lists it as uncharacterized. The record is from RefSeq and is a predicted model, not a curated record. The transcript is spliced from 4 exons. Lineage: Eukaryota; Metazoa; Chordata; Mammalia; Carnivora; Otariidae.
GAGAAGCAGGCCCCCAAGGAGCAGGGAGCCUGAUGCGGGACUCGAUCCCAGGACCCUGGGACCAUGACCUGAGCCAAAGGCAGAUGCUUAACCAUCUGAGCCACCCAGGCGCCCUGCAUGGCUUUAUUUCUAUAUAAAGAUUAAAGGUGGAAUCCAUAUGUGAUGGCAAGAACAGUAGCAGCCACCUUGGAGUCAAAGAUGGAUGUCAUGUCUGGACGAUGAUAGCAUCAACUUAUCUUUGAUCUGUUACAAGAUCUUUCACAUCGGAGCAUAUUUACUUGCCUCAUUAUUUUUGAUACGUAUUACUCCAUGGUAUGUGAAGUGAGAGACUAUCUCAUUCCAGUAACUCAGUAUCCUUUGAGAAUUUGACCCCUCACUCUGACCCCAUGUGAAUCUAGUGGGGUGUCAGUCAUGGGGUCCAGAGUCCCUGAUGACAAGAAUUGACUUGAUGACAAG